This 350-nucleotide long non-coding RNA is filed under the name Cricetulus griseus (Chinese hamster). Its description in RNAcentral is "lncRNA (ENSCGRG00015029231.1)". The record is from RNAcentral. Lineage: Eukaryota; Metazoa; Chordata; Mammalia; Rodentia; Cricetidae.
CUGGGAAGGAGACAGAGAGUGAGUCUCGGAGACACCACAUAGCUGCUGAAGGAGUAACAUUCUAGAGCAUUACUGGACUGAUUGACUAAAAUCCAGCUGUCUCCACUGAUCCACGGCAGUAGACUUAUGGAUGUACUCAACAACCACACCUGGAUCUUUUACAAGAAUCUUGGGAAUACGAACUCGUGUUCUUAUGGUCGCAGACACUUUGCCAACUGAGCCAUUUCAUCAGCCCCAACUUCAUGUCUUUAUAAAAGCACUCAACUUCAACUUUUCAGAAUACUAACAGAAAGCAAACCAAUACAUUAAUUAGGAUGACACACCAGUUUCCUUAUGUUUAAGAACAUCAU